AUUGAACGCUGGCGGCAGGCUUAACACAUGCAAGUCGAACGAGUGGCGGACGGGUGAGUAAUGCUUGGGAAUCUAGCUGAUGGAGGGGGAUAACUACGGGAAACUGUAGCUAAUACCGCGUACCAUAGGAUGAGCCCACGUGGGAUUAGGUAGUUGGUGGGGUAAAGGCUAACCAAGCCGACGAUCCCUAGCUGGUCUGAGAGGAUGACCAGCCACACGGGGACUGAGCAACGGCCCAGACUCCGCCGGGAGGCAUCAGUGGGGAAUAUUGCACAAUGGGGGCAACCUGACGCAGCCAUGCCGCGUGAAUGAAGAAGGCCUUCGGGUUGUAAAGUUCUUUCGGUAGGGAGGCGUUACCUACAGAAGAAGCACCGGCUAACUCCGUGCCAGCAGCCGCGGUAAUAC
RNAcentral lists this ribosomal RNA (405 nucleotides) under uncultured bacterium. Its description in RNAcentral is "partial 16S ribosomal RNA". It matches the Rfam family "Bacterial small subunit ribosomal RNA", at positions 30 to 526 of the family's 1533-position model. The record is from RNAcentral.